GGAUUUGUGCCUGAAUUAUAGGAUUACUUUGAUAGAGUAAAUAUAAGGGUUAAAAUCCCUUCGACUCCU
This 69-nucleotide transfer RNA is filed under the name Gnatholebias zonatus. RNAcentral's name for it is "tRNA-Ile". It matches the Rfam family "tRNA". Rfam says of the family: Transfer RNA (tRNA) molecules are approximately 80 nucleotides in length. Their secondary structure includes four short double-helical elements and three loops (D, anti-codon, and T loops). The record is from RNAcentral. Lineage: Eukaryota; Metazoa; Chordata; Actinopteri; Cyprinodontiformes; Rivulidae.